Molecule: ribosomal RNA, 328 nt
Filed under: Pseudopedinella elastica
Lineage: Eukaryota; Dictyochophyceae; Pedinellales
Description: partial Bacterial small subunit ribosomal RNA
Rfam family: Bacterial small subunit ribosomal RNA
Source: RNAcentral
UGGACGUUACUCGCAGAAUAAGCACCGGCUAACUCUGUGCCAGCAGCCGCGGUAAUACAGAGGGUGCGAGCGUUAAUCGGAAUUACUGGGCGUAAAGCGUGCGCAGGCGGUUAUGUAAGACAGAGGUGAAAUCCCCGGGCUCAACCUGGGAACUGCCUUUGUGACUGCAUAGCUGGAGUACGGCAGAGGGGGAUGGAAUUCCGCGUGUAGCAGUGAAAUGCGUAGAUAUGCGGAGGAACACCGAUGGCGAAGGCAAUCCCCUGGGCCUGUACUGACGCUCAUGCACGAAAGCGUGGGGAGCAAACAGGAUUAGAUACCCUGGUAGUCC